CAGGCCUCAAACAACCACCACAGCCGGAGAACCCAGGUUUAAGAUUCUGUUCACUAAGUGGAAGAAAGGAGUCUUGAAACCUCAUCCUACGUAUGGAUGUUGUGGGUAAUCCAGGGUCAUACUAACAGCUGCUGGAAAGUGUGACUAUCCCAGCCCCCCUCUGCUCUGAAUUUGACCAUCCGGAGAAGAGUGACUCUGUGGCCAAACACCAGUCUCACGUUGCCUCUCUGGAGAAUGCUUGAGGAAGCAAAAUUGUGUGAUGACUUGAGACGGGUUGAGACAGCAGUUGCAGCUGUCAACAAUAAAUGUGUUCUACCUCCUCACAUGGAAUUACGACAUCUAGAAUGCAGUCUACACAUGCAUUGAAGUAUAGUGAAGGAAGAUAUGUCUUUGAAUUCUACGACUAGGGAUGAUGCACUGUGUGAUCAUCCAUCCAGAUUCCGGAUGAGAAAGUAUUUGUGCAGCCAUCAACACAGAGUGCAGUCUACAUUCGCCUAGAGUGCAGUCUACAUAUUCAUUCAACUAUAGUGGACUGCUGUGCUGCGUGAGACCAGAUGGACAGAGGCUGAAGCAUUGGAUGUAAUGAAAAUAAUGUUUUUUUAAUUAAUUGUACUGUUGAAAUAAAGUGAGGAUGUUUACACAAUUUGACUGACUAAAUCAUUCUAAUGGGGGAAAUUUGAAGUCAG
Molecule: long non-coding RNA, 686 nt
Filed under: Salmo salar (Atlantic salmon)
Lineage: Eukaryota; Metazoa; Chordata; Actinopteri; Salmoniformes; Salmonidae
Description: lncRNA (ENSSSAG00000112789.1)
Source: RNAcentral